CCUAGAACCAAAACUUGGAAAAUGUCUACAUGGCAAGGAAGCUGGAAAAUGUUUGAAUAUUUUCCUAGUUCCAUGGAAUUCAUUGGGAGAUUUUUAUAAAUGACCUACUACUAUUCAUUUUUGGUAAAAUGUCUAUAAUACCCUUAAUGAAAGGAUUUGUCAUAUUUUGCACAAGAUAUCCUUAAUUUAUUGGGAUAGUUCUAAAUUCCUCUAUUUCUCUCCUUUCGAGUUUUAAUAUAUAAUUACAUUCUUUGAUCUAAUAAACUAGCAUAAUCUGUAAUAUAAUUAUCAUGUAAUUUGCUAAGAUUAUCAUAUUCCUUAGUUGAAAUAUCCAUAGUCUCUAGUUGGGCAAAAAUAUUUCUUAUUUUUUCUAAUAGUUUUUCUAACAGAUUAUCUAAUCCUUUAAUCGUAUAUCCUGGCAUUAUUCAGAUAAUUCCUUGCAAGUUUUUUGAACAUGUUAUAUAAGUUUUUUGUAAACAUGAAAAGUAAUAUUCCCUACGAUUCUUUCAAGAUAUUAGAAGAAUUCUUUCUAAAUUUAACAAAGACAAUAAUUUUACCUUACUUUUGAUCUUAAAUCUGUAUUCUUAGAACUGAGUGACCUUCAGGCUCUGAAUCUGCAAACUGCUCCCUCAAACGGCCUCUUGCCUCAAUGGGAAUUCUGUUAUUUCAACUUCUUGCCCUCACUGUAUCUUUUCUUAGAAUUAAGAGUAAAGAUCUUAAGUAAAGAAAAUUCUUUCUUUGUUAAAGUAAGAAAGAAAUUAUUUUCUUCAAUCUAUCAAGAAUCUAUGGGAUAGGAAAUUUAGAAACUCAUAUCUUUCUGAUAUCAAAAGAUUGAAAUUUCAUUUCUAUAAUUUAUACAAGGUUUCUAUUGUAUACAAGGGGUUUUCAAAAAAACUGGUUUUGAAAAAAGUUUAAGGAAAGAGAAU
This 926-nucleotide long non-coding RNA is filed under the name Olea europaea subsp. europaea. Lineage: Eukaryota; Viridiplantae; Streptophyta; Magnoliopsida; Lamiales; Oleaceae. The record is from RNAcentral.